CUUUUAUCUCCCCAAAUAUAUCUGCCAUAUUCCCAUUGCAAUGCUUAUUCUCAAACAAAUAUCUUCUAUUUUUCAGAGUCUCUCUCUCUCUCUGUCUGUCUGUUGUUUAGGUUUUGACAUAAUUUGGUGUCAGAAGUGAGAUUGAAGCUGGCUCACCUUGGACAGAUGGACAACCCCUGAAAUUGAGUGAAUUGCAUGCCCUGAGCCCUUUGGAGCUCUCCACCUCCAUGGCUCACCUUUUCUGCCCUGGUGAAUCUCCUCUCACAUUCCUGGACUCCCUCUUUUUGAAUGCUAGCCCAGCACUUUGAGAUGAUAAUCAAUGUUUAUGGAACAGAUAAAAUUAAACUUAACAAUGGACUGCAGUCCCAGCUGUGUCAAUUAUGUGUGGUCUUGGACAAGUUAUUUUACUUCUCUGAACUCAGUUUUCUCAUUCAUAAGGUGGAAAUAAUAAUCUCUGUCUUAUGGGAUUGUUGAAAGGACUAGAAUGAAUAUAUGCAAAGCUCUUGGCAGAAAUUAAGAACUCAAUGAAGACAGAAGAGAUGUAAGUCAACAUAAUAAGUAAGUCAAAUGAUGCUGGAGUUGGGUCUUGGAAGGAAAGCAACAUUCUAAUAGAUAGGGAUACAAAGAAAAGAGAUUCCAACCAGAAUGAGUGUGAACAAAGAGGAAGCCACAGUACAGUGGGAUGUGAGCAAUUACUGAAAACUCUGCAUAGAUUUGGCUAGAGUAGUAGAGUUCUCCUUCAAGAGGAGCAGUGGCAGAAAAAGGACUGGAGGGAAGGAUGGACUCAGACACAGAGGGCAACAGGAUAAGGGCAAGGGAUGUGUGUCUCCUUGGAGUACACCAUGUGCUGCCCUGCUGUUGUCUGGGGACUGGGUGAAAGUCAAUAUUGCCCUGCUCAGGACCAGGAGACAUUGCUACCAUUGGCCCUGCUUGGAUGUUCCUGAUGCUCCAGAACUUCAAUCACUUGGAAAUUACAAGAGUUUAGACGCUCUGUACCAGAAAUGGGGCAAAAGCCGAAUAUAUAUUUAUUUCUCCUUAUAUGUAUAUAUAUAUAUAGAGAGAGAUGGGGUCUUGCUUGUUGCUCAGGCUGGUCUUGAACUACUCCUGGCCUCAAGCAAUCCUCUUCCUGGCCUCCCAAAGUGCAGAGA
Long non-coding RNA from Piliocolobus tephrosceles (Ugandan red Colobus), 1148 nucleotides. RefSeq lists it as uncharacterized. The record is from RefSeq and is a predicted model, not a curated record. The transcript has 3 exons. Lineage: Eukaryota; Metazoa; Chordata; Mammalia; Primates; Cercopithecidae.